GAUGAACGCUAGCGGCAGGCCUAAUACAUGCAAGUCGAACGAUAUUAUCCAGCUUGCUGGAUAUGAAAGUGGCGCACGGGUGCGUAACGCGUAUGCAACCUACCUUAUUCAGGGGGAUAGCCCGAAGAAAUUCGGAUUAACACCGCAUAAAAUCACAGUUCAGCAUUGGACAAUGAUCAAAUAUUUAUAGGAAUAAGAUGGGCAUGCGUGUCAUUAGCUAGUUGGCGGGGUAACGGCCCACCAAGGCGACGAUGACUAGGGGAUCUGAGAGGAUGGGCCCCCAAACUGGUACUGAGACGCGGACCAGACUCCUACGGGAGGCAGCAGUAAGGAAGAUUGGUCAAUGGAGGGGACUCUGAAACAGCCAUGCUUCGUGCAGGAAGACGGCCCUCAGGGUUGUAAACUGCUUUUAUUCGGGAAUAAACCUAUUUACGUGUAAAUAGCUGAAUGUACCGAAGGAAUAAGGAUCGGCUAACUCCGUGCCAGCCGCCGCAGUAA
This 498-nucleotide ribosomal RNA is filed under the name uncultured bacterium. RNAcentral describes it as "partial 16S ribosomal RNA". It matches the Rfam family "Bacterial small subunit ribosomal RNA", at positions 28 to 523 of the family's 1533-position model. The record is from RNAcentral.